Molecule: ribosomal RNA, 253 nt
Filed under: uncultured prokaryote
Description: partial 16S ribosomal RNA
Rfam family: Bacterial small subunit ribosomal RNA
Source: RNAcentral
UACGAGGGGUGCAAGCGUUGCUCGGAAUUAUUGGGCGUAAAGGGUAGGUAGGUGGUCUCAUUUGUCUGGGGUGAAAGCCUCGAGCUUAACUCGAGAAGUGCCCCGGAAACGGUGAGACUAGAGUCUUGGAGAGGGUCGUGGAAUUCCCGGUGUAGCGGUGAAAUGCGUAGAGAUCGGGAGGAACACCAGAGGCGAAGGCGGGCUACUGGGCCGAUACUGACGCUGAUGCGCGAAAGCCAGGGGAGCGAACGGG